RNAcentral lists this ribosomal RNA (253 nucleotides) under uncultured bacterium. Its description in RNAcentral is "partial 16S ribosomal RNA". It matches the Rfam family "Bacterial small subunit ribosomal RNA", at positions 524 to 776 of the family's 1533-position model. The record is from RNAcentral.
UACGAAGGGGGCUAGCGUUGCUCGGAAUCACUGGGCGUAAAGCGCACGUAGGCGGAUUGUUAAGUCAGGGGUGAAAUCCUGGAGCUCAACUCCAGAACUGCCUUUGAUACUGAAGAUCUUGAGUUCGGGAGAGGUGAGUGGAACUGCGAGUGUAGAGGUGAAAUUCGUAGAUAUUCGCAAGAACACCAGUGGCGAAGGCGGCUCACUGGCCCGAUACUGACGCUGAGGCACGAAAGCGUGGAGAGCAAACAGG